CAAAAACAUGUCCUAUAGAUAUUAAUUUUAGGUUUAAUCUGCUCAGUGAUUAAUUUUAAAUAGCUGCAGUAUUUUGACUGUACAAAGGUAGCAUAAUCAUUUGUCUUUUAAUUGGAGGCUUGUAUGAAUGAUUGGACGAAAAAUAAUCUUUCUUUAUUUAAUAAUUUUGAAUUUAAUUUUUUAGUUAAAAAGCUAAAAUGAAUUUGUAAGACGAGAAGACCCUAUAGAAUUUUAUUUUAUUUAUUUUAUUUAUUUUAUUUUUAAAUGUUUUUAAUUUAAAUUAAAUUUGGUUGGGGUGACUAUGAAAAUUUUUUAACUUUCAUUUAUUUUUUUCAUAAAUUAAUGUUGUAUAUUGAUCCUGUUUUAUAGAUUAAAAGAUUAAAUUACCUUAGGGAUAAC
RNAcentral lists this ribosomal RNA (399 nucleotides) under Lygaeus equestris. Its description in RNAcentral is "partial 16S ribosomal RNA". The record is from RNAcentral. Lineage: Eukaryota; Metazoa; Arthropoda; Insecta; Hemiptera; Lygaeidae.